Non-coding RNA from Phascolarctos cinereus (koala), 675 nucleotides. The record is from the annotation of a RefSeq genome assembly. Lineage: Eukaryota; Metazoa; Chordata; Mammalia; Diprotodontia; Phascolarctidae.
ACCCAGCCUGAGAUACAAAUAUCUCCCAUCUGUCUCCCUCGAAGCUCAGAGCUCUCUGCCGCCAACUCUGCCAGGGUCACCAUGCUCUCCCAGUCCUUGCUCCUCUGGCUGCUACUGCUCUGGCCUCAGGAAUCCCAGGCAGCCAUUGAGGUGACCCAGUCCCCAGCCUCCCUGUCUGUGGCUGCAGGAGACCAAGUCACCAUCAGCUGCAAGGCCAGUUCCAGCAUUAGCAAGUGGAUGGCCUGGUUCCAGCACAAACCAGGACACUCUCCCAAACAACUGAUCUAUGAUGCUUCCACCCUGAACUCUGGGGUCCCGGCCCGGUUCAGUGGCAGUGGCUCUGGAACAGACUUCACUUUCACCAUCAGUGCAGUGGAGGCUGAGCAUGUGGCAGAUUACUACUGUUUUCAAGGUUACAGUGAUCCAUUCCCACAGUGUUUCAGCGCUGAACAAAAACCUCCCCAGGCUGCUCAGCCCUUCAGCAGGGCAGCAGCUGCUUCAACACAGUCAAAGGCUUGGGGCAACCACUGCCCUCAGCAGAGAAUGGGCCCACAUCAGCCCUGCUCCCAGCUGCUGCUCCUAACUUCUGAGCUCAAGCAAUGCACCAGCCUCAGCCUCCCUGGUAGCAGGGAUGACAAGCUUGGGCCACCGUGCAUGGCUAUGUACCAGGCCUAG